UUAGAUAUUACACAGAACAACCGAAUGCGUAGGCAGCUUACGUAAACUGUAACUGACGCUGAGGCACGAAAGCUUGGGGAGCGAACAGGAUUAGAUACCCUGGUAGUCCACGCUGUAAACUAUGAUCACUCGCUGUUGGCGAUACAUUGUCAGCGGCUGAGCGAAAGCAUUAAGUGAUCCACCUGGGGAGUACGGCCGCAAGGUUGAAACUCAAAGGAAUUGACGGGGGCCCGCACAAGCGGUGGAACAUGUGGUUUAAUUCGAUGAUACGCGAGGAACCUUACCUGGGCUUAAAUGCAGAACGACGUACCGGGAAACUGGUACUCCCUUCGGGGCGGACUGCAAGGUGCUGCAUGGUUGUCGUCAGCUCGUGCCGUGAGGUGUCGGGUUAAGUCCCAUAACGAGCGCAACCCUCAUUGUUAGUUGCCAGCGAGUAAUGUCGGGGACUCUAACGAAACUGCCGGUCUCAACCGUGAGGAAGGUGGGGAUGACGUCAAAUCAGCACGGCCCUUAUGUCCAGGGCUACACACGUGUUACAAUGGCCAGUACAAAGGGCAGCUACCACGCGAGUGGAUGCUAAUCUCUAAAGCUGGUCUCAGUUCGGAUUGAAGUCUGCAACUCGACUUCAUGAAGCUGGAAUCGCUAGUAAUCGCGCAUCACCCAUGGCGCGGUGAUACGUUCCCGGGCAUUGUACACACCGCCCGUCAAGCCAUGGAAGCUUGGGGUACAUGAAGUCCGUAAGCCGAAAGGAUCG
Molecule: ribosomal RNA, 754 nt
Filed under: uncultured organism
Description: bacterial SSU rRNA
Rfam family: Bacterial small subunit ribosomal RNA
Source: RNAcentral